GCAUUGGUGGUUCAGUGGUCAGACUCUCACCUUCCAUGUGGGAGACCUGGGUUUGGUUCCCAGCUAAUGCC
Molecule: transfer RNA, 71 nt
Filed under: Loxodonta africana (African savanna elephant)
Lineage: Eukaryota; Metazoa; Chordata; Mammalia; Proboscidea; Elephantidae
Rfam family: tRNA
About the family: Transfer RNA (tRNA) molecules are approximately 80 nucleotides in length.
Source: Rfam by way of RNAcentral